Molecule: ribosomal RNA, 194 nt
Filed under: uncultured Enterobacterales bacterium
Lineage: Bacteria; Pseudomonadati; Pseudomonadota; Gammaproteobacteria; Enterobacterales
Description: partial 16S ribosomal RNA
Rfam family: Bacterial small subunit ribosomal RNA
Source: RNAcentral
GGGGGAUAACUACUGGAAACGGUAGCUAAUACCGCAUAACGUCGCAAGACCAAAGUGGGGGACCUUCGGGCCUCAUGCCAUCAGAUGUGCCCAGAUGGGAUUAGCUAGUAGGUGGGGUAAUGGCUCACCUAGGCGACGAUCCCUAGCUGGUCUGAGAGGAUGACCAGCCACACUGGAACUGAGACACGGUCCAG